GCCUCUGUAGCUCAGUUGGUUAGAGCGCUGCACCGGAAUCGCAUGCCCGUAGGUUCAAUUCCUACCAGAGGAC
This is a non-coding RNA of Paramuricea clavata, 73 nucleotides long. The record is from the annotation of a GenBank genome assembly. NCBI's taxonomy places the organism in Eukaryota, Metazoa, Cnidaria, Anthozoa, Malacalcyonacea, Plexauridae.